AAGUCGUAACAAGGUAACCGUAGGUGAACCUGCGGUUGGAUCAUUACAAAAAAAUCUUAAUGAGGAUGUGUUUUCGAGUUCAUCGGGGUUUUACAACUCUGGUGGCUUGCCUCACAUUCUUUUUACCUUUUGUGCACUCUGUCACUGUAUUUUCAGGAUUUAAUUUUCCUCCGCAAGGAGGUUUGCUUCCUGUCCAUUAUUUAAGACACCUAAUCUUCUUUAUAAUCUCCAACAAUCUUUUUCUUCGGCGUCAAACCUAAAGAAAAAACCACAAAAAAAAAACAACUUUUGACAACGGAUCUCUAGGCUCUC
RNAcentral lists this unclassified non-coding RNA (312 nucleotides) under fungal sp. RNAcentral describes it as "partial internal transcribed spacer region". The stretch from base 1 to 46 matches the Rfam family "Eukaryotic small subunit ribosomal RNA", at positions 1786 to 1831 of the family's 1831-position model. The record is from RNAcentral. Lineage: Eukaryota; Fungi.